Molecule: ribosomal RNA, 253 nt
Filed under: uncultured bacterium
Lineage: Bacteria
Description: partial 16S ribosomal RNA
Rfam family: Bacterial small subunit ribosomal RNA
Source: RNAcentral
UACGUAGGGUACGAGCGUUGUCCGGAAUUAUUGGGCGUAAAGAGCUCGUAGGUGGUUGGUCGCGUCUGCUGUGGAAACGCAACGCUUAACGUUGCGCGGGCAGUGGGUACGGGCUGACUAGAGUGCCGUAGGGGAGUCUGGAAUUCCUGGUGUAACGGUGAAAUGCGCAGAUAUCAGGAGGAACACCGGUGGCGAAGGCGGGACUCUGGGCUGUAACUGACACUGAGGAGCGAAAGCAUGGGGAGCGAACAGG